AUUGAACGCUGGCGGCAGGCCUAACACAUGCAAGUCGAGCGGAUGAAGGGAGCUUGCUCCUGGAUUCAGCGGCGGACGGGUGAGUAAUGCCUAGGAAUCUGCCUGGUAGUGGGGGAUAACGUCCGGAAACGGGCGCUAAUACCGCAUACGUCCUGAGGGAGAAAGUGGGGGAUCUUCGGACCUCACGCUAUCAGAUGAGCCUAGGUCGGAUUAGCUAGUUGGUGGGGUAAAGGCCUACCAAGGCGACGAUCCGUAACUGGUCUGAGAGGAUGAUCAGCCACACGGGAGCUGAGACAGCGUCGUGAGUCCUACGGGACGCACCAGUGGGGAUUUUUGGAGCAGGGGCGCAAGUCUGAUCCAGCCAUACGGCGUGGGUGAAGACGGUCUUCGGCUUGUACAGCCCUUUUUUUGGGAAAGAAACGCAUCCGGUUAAUACCCCGCUGUUCUGCCGGUACCCAAAGAAUAAGCACCGGCUAAUUUCGUG
Molecule: ribosomal RNA, 484 nt
Filed under: uncultured bacterium
Lineage: Bacteria
Description: partial 16S ribosomal RNA
Rfam family: Bacterial small subunit ribosomal RNA
Source: RNAcentral